AUUGAACGCUGGCGGCAUGCCUAACACAUGCAAGUCGAACGGCAGCACGGGGGCAGCCCUGGUGGCGAGUGGCGGACGGGUGAGGAAUGCAUCGGAAUCUGCCUCGUUGUGGGGGAUAACGUAGGGAAACUUACGCUAAUACCGCAUACGACCUACGGGUGAAAGUGGGGGACCGCAAGGCCUCACGCGAUGAGAGGAGC
Molecule: ribosomal RNA, 200 nt
Filed under: uncultured bacterium
Lineage: Bacteria
Description: partial 16S ribosomal RNA
Rfam family: Bacterial small subunit ribosomal RNA
Source: RNAcentral